GUUGAACGCUGGCGGCAGGCCUAACACAUGCAAGUCGGACGAGCGGCGGACGGGUGAGUAAUGUAUGAGGAUCUGCCUGAUGUAGGGGGAUAAGUACUGGAAACGGUAGCUACUACCGCAUAGCAUCAGUUGCACCCAUAUGGGAUUAGCCAGUAGGUGAGGUAACGGCUUACCUAGGCGACGAUCCCUAGCUGGUCGGAGAGGAUGAUCAGCCACACUGGGACUGAGACACGGCCCAGACUCCUACGGGAGGCAGCAGUGGGGAAUAUUGCACAAUGGGCGAAAGCCUGACGCAGCCAUGCCGCGUGUAUGAAGAAGGCCUUCGGGUUGUAAAGUACUUUCAGUCGGGAGGCGUUACCGACAGAGGAAGCACCGGCUAACUACGUGCCAGCCGCCGCGGUAAUUC
This 406-nucleotide ribosomal RNA is filed under the name uncultured bacterium. RNAcentral describes it as "partial 16S ribosomal RNA". It matches the Rfam family "Bacterial small subunit ribosomal RNA", at positions 28 to 526 of the family's 1533-position model. The record is from RNAcentral.